This 403-nucleotide ribosomal RNA is filed under the name bacterium. RNAcentral describes it as "partial 16S ribosomal RNA". It matches the Rfam family "Bacterial small subunit ribosomal RNA", at positions 355 to 776 of the family's 1533-position model. The record is from RNAcentral.
CGGGGAAUAUUGCACAAUGGGGGAAACCCUGAUGCAGCGACGCCGCGUGAACGAAGAAGGUAUUCGUAUCGUAAAGUUCUGUCCUAUGGGAAGAUAAUGACAGUACCAUAGAAGAAAGCUCCGGCUAAAUACGUGCCAGCAGCCGCGGUAAUACGUAUGGAGCGAGCGUUGUCCGGAAUUAUUGGGCGUAAAGGGUACGCAGGCGGUUUAAUAAGUCGAAUGUUAAAGAUCGGGGCUCAACCCCGUAAAGCAUUGGAAACUGAUAAACUUGAGUAGUGGAGAGGAAAGUGGAAUUCCUAGUGUAGUGGUGAAAUACGUAGAUAUUAGGAGGAAUACCAGUAGCGAAGGCGACUUUCUGGACACAAACUGACGCUGAGGUACGAAAGCGUGGGGAGCAAACAGG